GCAUACACUGUAUCAAGGAUAAAUUAAGACUAGUAAAGAAGACGAAACUUUAACCUUGAACUAAUUAAUCAAAAAUUACAGAGUGCCACAAUAUGAAACAGAAAAGGUUCCAAGCAUUUAACUUAGGAUUUCAAGUAAUAAAGUCAAAUAUAUGUUGUGUGACAUGAAAUCAUAUACAUAGGAGACAGCCGAAGCAGAAUGCAGGAAAUGGAAGAUCUCCCUCCAAAAGAAGAAUAAAAAAUUCCAAGUUUGUUAAAAACAACUUACUGAGUGGUUUAUUAGG
Molecule: unclassified non-coding RNA, 283 nt
Filed under: Hevea brasiliensis (rubber tree)
Lineage: Eukaryota; Viridiplantae; Streptophyta; Magnoliopsida; Malpighiales; Euphorbiaceae
Source: RNAcentral